CAGCCGCCGCGGUAAUACGAAGGGUGCAAGCGUUACUCGGAAUUACUGGGCGUAAAGCGUGCGUAGGUGGUGGUUUAAGUCCGUUGUGAAAUCCCCGGGCUCAACCUGGGAAUGGCAGUGGAUACUGGCUCGCUAGAGUGUGUCAGAGGAUGGUGGAAUUCCCGGUGUAGCGGUGAAAUGCGUAGAGAUCGGGGGGAACAUCAGUGGCGAAGGCGGCCAUCUGGGACAACACUGACGCUGAGGCACGAAAGCGUGGGGAGCAAACAGGAUUAGAUACCCCCGUAGUCCCUGUCUCUUAUAC
Molecule: ribosomal RNA, 301 nt
Filed under: uncultured bacterium
Lineage: Bacteria
Description: partial 16S ribosomal RNA
Rfam family: Bacterial small subunit ribosomal RNA
Source: RNAcentral